This 254-nucleotide ribosomal RNA is filed under the name uncultured Glomus. RNAcentral's name for it is "partial 18S ribosomal RNA". It matches the Rfam family "Eukaryotic small subunit ribosomal RNA", at positions 624 to 886 of the family's 1831-position model. Lineage: Eukaryota; Fungi; Glomeromycota; Glomeromycetes; Glomerales; Glomeraceae. The record is from RNAcentral.
AAGCUCGUAGUUGAAUUUCGGGGUUCUACCGUUGGUCGGGCUUUGUCUGUACUGGCGUGUAGAAUUUCUACCUUCUGGGGAACCAUUAUGUUAUUAAUUUAGCGUAGUGGGAAACCAGGACCUUUACCUUGAAAAAAUUAGAGUGUUCAAAGCAGGCUUAUGUCUGAAUACAUUAGCAUGGAAUAAUAGAAUAGGACGGUGGUCCUGUUUUGUUGGUUUCUGAAUCACCGUAAUGAUUAAUAGGGAUAGUUGGG